Molecule: ribosomal RNA, 404 nt
Filed under: uncultured bacterium
Lineage: Bacteria
Description: bacterial SSU rRNA
Rfam family: Bacterial small subunit ribosomal RNA
Source: RNAcentral
UGAGGAAUAUUUCACAAUGGGCGCAAGCCUGAUGCAGCAACGCCGCGUGCGGGACGACGGCCUUCGGGUUGUAAACCGCUUUUCUGAGGGACGAGCGAGGACGGUACCUUAGGAAUAAGUCUCGGCUAACUACGUGCCAGCAGCCGCGGUAAAACGUAGGAGGCGAGCGUUAUCCGGAUUUACUGGGCGUAAAGAGCGCGCAGGUGGCCGUGUAAGUUGGACGUGAAAGCUCCUGGGUUAACUGGGAGGGGUCGUUCGAUACGGCGGGGCUUGAGGUUGGGAGAGGGGUGUGGAAGUCCCGGGGGAGUGGUGGAAUGCGUAGAUAGCGGGAGGAACACCGGAGGCGAAGGCGGCAGACUGGCGCACACCUGACACUGAGGUGCGAAAGCGUGGGGAGUAAACAG